RNAcentral lists this ribosomal RNA (481 nucleotides) under uncultured Aminicenantes bacterium. Its description in RNAcentral is "bacterial SSU rRNA". It matches the Rfam family "Bacterial small subunit ribosomal RNA", at positions 905 to 1382 of the family's 1533-position model. Lineage: Bacteria; Candidatus Aminicenantota. The record is from RNAcentral.
UAGAAGUUGACGGGGGCCCGCACAAGCAGUGGAGCAUGUGGUUUAAUUCGAUGCAACGCGAAGAACCUUACCUGGGCUUGAACUGCAGGCGUAGUCGCUUGAAAGGGCGGCGAACUCCUCGGGAAGACCUGUAGAGGUGCUGCAUGGCUGUCGUCAGCUCGUGUCGUGAGAUGUUGGGUUAAGUCCCGCAACGAGCGCAACCCUUGCCAUUAGUUGUCAGCGAGUCAUGUCGGAUACUCUAAUGGGACUGCCGGUGACGAGCCGGAGGAAGGUGGGGAUGACGUCAAGUCAGCAUGGCCUUUAUGUCCAGGGCCACACACGUGCUACAAUGGACGGUACAGAGGGACGCAAGACCGCAAGGUGGAGCAAAUCCUCAAAACCGUUCUCAGUUCGGAUUGCAGGCUGCAAUUCGCCUGCAUGAAGCUGGAAUUGCUAGUAAUCGCAGAUCAGCUACGCUGCGGUGAAUACGUUCUCGGGCCUU